This 808-nucleotide unclassified non-coding RNA is filed under the name Hevea brasiliensis (rubber tree). Lineage: Eukaryota; Viridiplantae; Streptophyta; Magnoliopsida; Malpighiales; Euphorbiaceae. The record is from RNAcentral.
GUUAUAGAAUUUCAGCAAUACACGUCUACUUUAUAACGGUAACCAUUUGCCUCCUCCAUCUUACGUUCCGUUACAUGGGAAAAAAAUCAGUUGCUAACAAUUAAGAAUAGAUAGUGUUACAAUCCCAUUGUGGUAGGCCAUUCUGGCCCCACUUUCUACCGAUCUUUGAGUUCCUGCUCAAACUGAAGCAAUUUUUCACGGACAGGAUGCAGAAACAUCUUCAGAUCCAGGUUGAUCUGAAACUUAUCUUGCUGUGGAAGGUCCUUGUCAUCACUAAGCCGCACUUGCAGCUGCAAGUCUUCUAGCUCACCAAAACAAAACUCUGGGACAUCAAUAUGAGCCUUGACCAUCUUUUUCUCCUCUUUGACAAUCCACUCACCUUUGAUUUUCAAUGUCAACUCGUAAGUAUAACCAACUCGUUUCUUGUUUCUGACAGUCACCAAAAAUGCAUCACCAAAACAUUUGGACACUUCUGCUAUUUCUGCUUUGCCACUGGAGAACUCCAAGGAGCCAACUGACAUAAGCAGCUCCUUUAUCCUAUCGGUUGCCCAUUUAUUAAGGCUUUUCUCUUCCCAAGUUCCAGCCCUGUUCCAAAGGGAACCCAGUGUGGGGGGCUGAGAUUGGGAGGAAAUUAUAUCAUUUUGGGAAAGUUUCUUAGGAAGAGGAAGAGGGGCUGCAUCCGCCAUGGCUUCCCUCACCCAAUAGGUAUAAGAUGCACCCUGAGAGGGGUGUUUCUCCUCCGACAUUGCUGUUACAUUCUUGUCCUCCUCCAUGGAUGUGGAUCUUGAGCCAAAUAAUUUAUUUUUAG